GCUAAGUUUGUUGAAUAUUUGCCUGUACUGGGAGAUCACUAACAAGGAAAUGAAAUCUCAAGAACGAAGAUCGUGUUUGUUUUAACUUAAAAUAGUAUCUUGUUGAACAGGUAGUUUCUAGUUUGUGGUGGUUAGUUGUAUUUGAAAAACUAAUAAUGUUGAACAUUAAAUACUUUUUAAUUGUUGAUUCUGUGUGUGGAUAUAUAGAGAGAGCACAAUGCUUCUCAUGAAUUGCUUUCAAUUUCUUUGCUAUAAAUCUCUAGGAGUGGUAUUAGUGAUGCAAUAAAUUAAUUAUGUGAUUAAUUCAAUGCCUUUGCUCAUUAUGUGUUUACUAUUUGUUUUUUAUUUUGAGUGAGUUCUCAUUUGUCUAUUUAGCAACUGCUAUCCUAACGUUUUUCUUAAAAUUUCAAAUGAUCUCCAUUUAUGGAUAUGAAUAUUACAUUGCUUAUACUUAAAAAUACACACUUCUGAUACAUUUGACAAUUUUGUUGCUUUUCAUUAGAAUUACUGUUAUACA
This 517-nucleotide long non-coding RNA is filed under the name Bos taurus (domestic cattle). RNAcentral's name for it is "long non-coding RNA NONBTAT022274". The record is from RNAcentral. Lineage: Eukaryota; Metazoa; Chordata; Mammalia; Artiodactyla; Bovidae.